AUGGGUGUAGCUCAACGGAAGAGCGUCGGUCUCCAAAACCGGAAGGUGGGGGUUCGAAUCCCUCCGCCCGUGC
This 73-nucleotide transfer RNA is filed under the name Virgisporangium aliadipatigenens. RNAcentral describes it as "tRNA-Trp". It matches the Rfam family "tRNA". Rfam says of the family: Transfer RNA (tRNA) molecules are approximately 80 nucleotides in length. Their secondary structure includes four short double-helical elements and three loops (D, anti-codon, and T loops). Further hydrogen bonds mediate the characteristic L-shaped molecular structure. tRNAs have two regions of fundamental functional importance: the anti-codon, which is responsible for specific mRNA codon recognition, and the 3' end, to which the tRNAs corresponding amino acid is attached (by aminoacyl-tRNA synthetases). tRNAs cope with the degeneracy of the genetic code in two manners: having more than one tRNA (with a specific anti-codon) for a particular amino acid; and 'wobble' base-pairing, i.e. permitting non-standard base-pairing at the 3rd anti-codon position. Lineage: Bacteria; Bacillati; Actinomycetota; Actinomycetes; Micromonosporales; Micromonosporaceae. The record is from RNAcentral.